CGGGGGGCAGCAGUGGGGAAUAUUGCACAAUGGGGGAAACCCUGAUGCAGCGACGCCGCGUGAACGAAGAAGGUAUUCGUAUCGUAAAGUUCUGUCCUAUGGGAAGAUAAUGACAGUACCAUAGAAGAAAGCUCCGGCUAAAUACGUGCCAGCAGCCGCGGUAAUACGUAUGGAGCGAGCGUUGUCCGGAAUUAUUGGGCGUAAAGGGUACGCAGGCGGUUUAAUAAGUCGAAUGUUAAAGAUCGGGGCUCAACCCCGUAAAGCAUUGGAAACUGAUAAACUUGAGUAGUGGAGAGGAAAGUGGAAUUCCUAGUGUAGUGGUGAAAUACGUAGAUAUUAGGAGGAAUACCAGUAGCGAAGGCGACUUUCUGGACACAAACUGACGCUGAGGUACGAAAGCGUGGGGAGCAAACAGGAUUAGAUACCCCCGU
RNAcentral lists this ribosomal RNA (431 nucleotides) under uncultured Finegoldia sp. RNAcentral describes it as "bacterial SSU rRNA". It matches the Rfam family "Bacterial small subunit ribosomal RNA", at positions 342 to 791 of the family's 1533-position model. Lineage: Bacteria; Bacillati; Bacillota; Tissierellia; Tissierellales; Peptoniphilaceae. The record is from RNAcentral.